ACGGAGCCAUCCUUGAAAUACCACCCUUUAACGUUUGAUGUUCUAACCCGGGUCCAUAAUCUGGAUCGGGGACCGUGUCUGGUGGGUAGUUUGACUGGGGCGGUCUCCUCCCAAAGAGUAACGGAGGAGCACGAAGGUUGGCUAAGCAUGGUCGGACAUCAUGCGGUUAGUGCAAAGGCAUAAGCCAGCUUGACUGCGAGAGUGACGGCUCGAGCAGGUACGAAAGUAGGUCUUAGUGAUCCGGUGGUUCUGAAUGGAAGGGCCAUCGCUCAACGGAUAAAAGGUACUCCGGGGAUAACAGGCUGAUACCGCCCAAGAGUUCAUAUCGACGGCGGUGUUUGGCACCUCGAUGUCGGCUCAUCACAUCCUGGGGCUGAAGUAGGUCCCAAGGGUAUGGCUGUUCGCCAUUUAAAGUGGUACGCGAGCUGGGUUUAGAACGUCGUGAGACAGUUCGGUCCCUAUCUGCCGUGGGCGCUGGAAGAUUGAGAGGGGUUGCUCCUAGUACGAGAGGACCGGAGUGAACGCACCACUGGUGUACGGGUUGUGAUGCCAAUUGCAUUGCCCGGUAGCUAAGUGCGGAAGAGAUAACCGCUGAAAGCAUCUAAGCGGGAAACUUGCCUCGAGAUGAGUCUUCCCUGACCCUUUAAG
This 648-nucleotide ribosomal RNA is filed under the name Morganella morganii subsp. morganii. RNAcentral describes it as "partial 23S ribosomal RNA". It matches the Rfam family "Bacterial large subunit ribosomal RNA", at positions 2180 to 2825 of the family's 2925-position model. Lineage: Bacteria; Pseudomonadati; Pseudomonadota; Gammaproteobacteria; Enterobacterales; Morganellaceae. The record is from RNAcentral.